Molecule: ribosomal RNA, 491 nt
Filed under: uncultured bacterium
Lineage: Bacteria
Description: bacterial SSU rRNA
Rfam family: Bacterial small subunit ribosomal RNA
Source: RNAcentral
AGAGUUUGAUCCUGGCUUAGGACGAACGCUGGCGGCGUGCUUCAUACAUGCAAGUCGAACGAUAAGGUCUCUUCGGAGAUACAUAAGUGGCGGACGGGUGAGUAAAAUGUAGAGAAUCUGCCCUAGAGUGGGGGACAACAGUUGGAAACGACUGCUAAUACCGCAUAUGAGCGUAGCUGAAAUGCUAUUCUUGAAAACUCCGGUGCUCUGGGAUGAGUCUGCAUCUGAUUAGCUAGUUGGGGGUGUAAUGGACCACCAAGGCGACGAUCAGUAGCUGGUUUGAGAGGAUGAUCAGCCACAAUGGGACUGAGACACGGCCCAUACUCCUACGGGAGGCAGCAGUAGGGAAUUUUGCGCAAUGGGGGAAACCCUGAACCGCAGCAACGCCGCGUGACCGAUGAAGCCCUUCGGGGUGUAAAGGUCUGUCAGUGGGGACGAAACUUGACGGUACCCACAGAGGAAGCAUCGGCUAACUCCGUGCCAGCCGCCGC